RNAcentral lists this ribosomal RNA (460 nucleotides) under uncultured bacterium. RNAcentral describes it as "partial 16S ribosomal RNA". It matches the Rfam family "Bacterial small subunit ribosomal RNA", at positions 338 to 795 of the family's 1533-position model. The record is from RNAcentral.
CCUACGGGAGGCAGCAGUGAGGAAUAUUGGUCACUGGGCGCGAGCCUGAACCAGCCAAGUCGCGUGAGGGAAGACGGUCCUAUGGAUUGUACACCUCUUUUGUCGGGGAGCAAAAGACGCCACGCGUGGCGUUCAGAGCGUACACGAAGAAAAAGCAUCGGCUAACUCCGUGCCAGCAGCCGCGGUAAUACGGAGGAUGCGAGCGUUCUCCGGAUUUAUUGGGUUUAAAGGGUGCGUAGUCGGUCGGAUAAGUUAGAGGUGAAAUCCCGAGGCUCAACUUCGGAAUUGCCGCGGAUACUGUGCGGCUAGAGAGUAGGUGCGGUAGGCGGAAUGUAUGGUGUAGCGGUGAAAUGCUUAGAGAUCAUACAGAACACCGAUUGCGAAGGCAGCUUACCAAGCUACUUCUGACGUUGAGGCACGAAAGCGUGGGGAGCAAACAGGAUUAGAUACCCGUGUAGUC